AGAGUUUGAUCAUGGCUCAGAUUGAACGCUGGCGGCAGGCCUAACACAUGCAAGUCGAACGGUAACAGGAAGCAGCUUGCUGCUUUGCUGACGAGUGGCGGACGGGUGAGUAAUGUCUGGGAAACUGCCUGAUGGAGGGGGAUAACUACUGGAAACGGUGGCUAAUACCGCAUAACGUCGCAAGACCAAAGAGGGGGACCUUCGGGCCUCUUGCCAUCAGAUGUGCCCAGAUGGGAUUAGCUUGUUGGUGAGGUAACGGCUCACCAAGGCGACGAUCCCUAGCUGGUCUGAGAGGAUGACCAGCCACACUGGAACUGAGACACGGUCCAGACUCCUACGGGAGGCAGCAGUGGGGAAUAUUGCACAAUGGGCGCAAGCCUGAUGCAGCCAUGCCGCGUGUAUGAAGAAGGCCUUCGGGUUGUAAAGUACUUUCAGCGGGGAGGAAGGUGUUGUGGUUAAUAACCGCAGCAAUUGACGUUACCCGCAGAAGAAGCACCGGCUAACUCCGUGCCAGCAGCCGCGGUAAUACGGAGGGUGCAAGCGUUAAUCGGAAUUACUGGGCGUAAAGCGCACGCAGGCGGUCUGUCAAGUCGGAUGUGAAAUCCCCGGGCUCAACCUGGGAACUGCAUUCGAAACUGGCAGGCUUGAGUCUUGUAGAGGGGGGUAGAAUUCCAGGUGUAGCGGUGAAAUGCGUAGAGAUCUGGAGGAAUACCGGUGGCGAAGGCGGCCCCCUGGACAAAGACUGACGCUCAGGUGCGAAAGCGUGGGGAGCAAACAGGAUUAGAUACCCUGGUAGUCCACGCCGUAAACGAUGUCUACUUGGAGGUUGUGCCCUUGAGGCGUGGCUUCCGGAGCUAACGCGUUAAGUAGACCGCCUGGGGAGUACGGCCGCAAGGUUAAAACUCAAAUGAAUUGACGGGGGCCCGCACAAGCGGUGGAGCAUGUGGUUUAAUUCGAUGCAACGCGAAGAACCUUACCUGGUCUUGACAUCCACAGAACAAUCCAGAGAUGGAUUUGUGCCUUCGGGAACUGUGAGACAGGUGCUGCAUGGCUGUCGUCAGCUCGUGUUGUGAAAUGUUGGGUUAAGUCCCGCAACGAGCGCAACCCUUAUCCUUUGUUGCCAGCGAUUAGGUCGGGAACUCAAAGGAGACUGCCAGUGAUAAACUGGAGGAAGGUGGGGAUGACGUCAAGUCAUCAUGGCCCUUACGACCAGGGCUACACACGUGCUACAAUGGCGCAUACAAAGAGAAGCGACCUCGCGAGAGCAAGCGGACCUCAUAAAGUGCGUCGUAGUCCGGAUUGGAGUCUGCAACUCGACUCCAUGAAGUCGGAAUCGCUAGUAAUCGUGGAUCAGAAUGCCACGGUGAAUACGUUCCCGGGCCUUGUACACACCGCCCGUCACACCAUGGGAGUGGGUUGCAAAAGAAGUAGGUAGCUUAACCUUCGGGAGGGCGCUUACCACUUUGUGAUUCAUGACUGGGGUGAAGUCGUAACAAGGUAACCGUAGGGGAACCUGCGGUUG
RNAcentral lists this ribosomal RNA (1522 nucleotides) under Salmonella enterica. RNAcentral describes it as "bacterial SSU rRNA". It matches the Rfam family "Bacterial small subunit ribosomal RNA". Lineage: Bacteria; Pseudomonadati; Pseudomonadota; Gammaproteobacteria; Enterobacterales; Enterobacteriaceae. The record is from RNAcentral.